Molecule: long non-coding RNA, 235 nt
Filed under: Mytilus galloprovincialis (Mediterranean mussel)
Lineage: Eukaryota; Metazoa; Mollusca; Bivalvia; Mytilida; Mytilidae
Source: RNAcentral
UCUGGGUUUUGAUUGUGUUCAGGUUUGUUUUUUAUGCAGUGUUUGUACAAUGGUGUUUGUCUUUUUUUUCUUUUUUUCACAUGGUUGUGUUGCGUUCUCUUCGACUUACGACUUUUAAAUAUCCUUUUGUUAUCCUCCGUCUUUUUAUUUGGCACUGGCCAGUUUGAAAACAUGAUGAUUACAAUUUUCGUAUGUCCAAUAGAACUGUACUGAACUUGAAAGCUGUAGAAACAAU